This 550-nucleotide ribosomal RNA is filed under the name Petasospora sp. Its description in RNAcentral is "Cyberlindnera sp. partial large subunit ribosomal RNA". It matches the Rfam family "Eukaryotic large subunit ribosomal RNA", at positions 97 to 654 of the family's 3401-position model. Lineage: Eukaryota; Fungi; Ascomycota; Saccharomycetes; Phaffomycetales; Wickerhamomycetaceae. The record is from RNAcentral.
AGCGGCAAAAGCUCAAAUUUGAAAUCUGAGGCUCUCCAGCCCCCGAGUUGUAAUUUGAAGAUGGUGUUCUGGUGCCGGCGCCCUGUCUACGUUCCUUGGAACAGGACAUCGCAGAGGGUGAGAAUCCCGUGUGGCGGGGCGGCCUGGCUCCGUGUAGAGCGCCAUCGACGAGUCGAGUUGUUUGGGAAUGCAGCUCUAAGUGGGUGGUAAAUUCCAUCUAAAGCUAAAUAUUGGCGAGAGACCGAUAGCGAACAAGUACAGUGAUGGAAAGAUGAAAAGAACUUUGAAAAGAGAGUGAAAAAGUACGUGAAAUUGUUGAAAGGGAAGGGUAUUGGAUCAGACUUGGUGCUGUGCGAAUAGCGGCUCUUCCUGGGCCGCCCCACUCGCACUCCACCGGGCCAGCAUCGGUUUGGGCGGCAAGACAAUGGCGGGGGAACGUGGCACUGCUCUCGGGCAGUGUGUUUAUAGCCCUCGCUGAUGUUGCCUGCCUAGACCGAGGACUGCGGCUUCUGCCUAGGAUGCUGGCGUAAUGAUCCAACACCGCCCGUCU